GACAGAGGGUGCAAACGUUGCUCGGAAUCACUGGGCGUAAAGCGCACGUAGGCGGAUUUGCCAGUCAGGGGUGAAAUCCCGGGGCUCAACCUCGGAACUGCCUUUGAUACAGCAAGUCUUGAGUUCGAGAGAGGUGGGUGGAAUUCCUAGUGUAGAGGUGAAAUUCGUAGAUAUUAGGAAGAACACCGGUGGCGAAGGCGGCCCACUGGCUCGACACUGACGCUGAGGUGCGAAAGCGUGGGGAGCAAACAGG
This 253-nucleotide ribosomal RNA is filed under the name uncultured bacterium. RNAcentral's name for it is "partial 16S ribosomal RNA". It matches the Rfam family "Bacterial small subunit ribosomal RNA", at positions 524 to 776 of the family's 1533-position model. The record is from RNAcentral.